RNAcentral lists this ribosomal RNA (508 nucleotides) under uncultured bacterium. Its description in RNAcentral is "bacterial SSU rRNA". It matches the Rfam family "Bacterial small subunit ribosomal RNA", at positions 29 to 513 of the family's 1533-position model. The record is from RNAcentral.
AGCGAACGUUAGCGGCGGGCCUAACACAUGCAAGUCGAACGCGAAAGGUCUUCGGACUGAGUAGAGUGGCGCACGGGUGAGUAACACGUAGGUAAUCUACCCUUUGGCGGGGGAUAACGUUCCGAAAGGAGCGCUAAUACCGCAUAAGACCACGUGGUCUCCGGACCGAGUGGGAAAAGGUGGCCUCUUCUUGAAAGCUACCACCGAAGGAUGAGCCUGCGUCCCAUCAGCUAGUUGGUAAGGUAAUGGCUUACCAAGGCAAAGACGGGUAGCUGGUUUGAGAGAAUGAUCAGCCACACUGGCACUGGAACACGGGCCAGACUCCUACGGGAGGCAGCAGUGAGGAAUAUUGGGCAAUGGGCGAAAGCCUGACCCAGCCACGCCGCGUGAGUGAUGAAGGCCCUCGGGUCGUAAAGCUCUGUGGAGAGGGACGAAAACCCUGGUUUCAAAUAGGACUCCAAGCUUGACGGUACCUCUUUAGCAAGCACCGGCUAACUCUGUGCCAGCA